Molecule: long non-coding RNA, 217 nt
Organism: Vombatus ursinus (common wombat)
Lineage: Eukaryota; Metazoa; Chordata; Mammalia; Diprotodontia; Vombatidae
Exons: 3
Source: RefSeq, a predicted model, not a curated record
CCUGGUUCCUUGGCGUGCCCAGCGUGCGGGUGCUCCUUAUUGUCUCUAGCUCCCUUUGCAAAGAUACAGGCCAGGGGAAUUGCAGGAGUCAGUAACGAAACUGCAUCUAUGGGUUGUGGCAAAGUAGGGGAGGAGCUACUGGCAAGGGAAAAAAGGUAAGAUCCUUGUGUAGAGGGAUUUCCUCAAGGCAUUUGCAAGAUCCAGAGCAGGAGUUCUU